Felis catus (domestic cat) is the source of this 597-nucleotide long non-coding RNA. RefSeq lists it as uncharacterized. Lineage: Eukaryota; Metazoa; Chordata; Mammalia; Carnivora; Felidae. The transcript has 3 exons. The record is from RefSeq and is a predicted model, not a curated record.
GGACACUUCCUCAUCCGUGAUGGCAAUCUGAUUCCUGAGCGACCGUGAUAGCAGAGGAGAGACUUCUCCCAGAUCACUUUGCUGAGGAGAUUGGGGUAAUAGAAAUUUCAACUGGAAGCUGGGACACCAGUUCAGAAGCUACUCAUUAAUUCAGAACAAGCGAACCCUGUAAAGAACAUAAGCUUCAGGCUCAGCUUAAGCGAAAACCUGUAGGUGGAGAUAAAGUAGAAACCAGCACUCCAUUGGAUCUUUCGCUCCCUGAUCUGUUUGAAAAGCAGACAUGUUUGGACAGUGGUACUUAAUGAGAUCAUUUCUGUUACUGUUUGUGAAGGGCUCAGCUUUGCCUUGUUCUCCUCUGGGCCUUAAGAACUUGGACAUUUUAGAAUGCUUUUUAAAAUUAAAUACAGGUUUUCCGUUGCUUUGAUGCAGUACAAGGGGACAGCAAAAAAGCCCACUAAAAUUACUUUUAGAACUAUACCUGAGCAGGGAUACCUGGGUGGCUCAGUCGGUCGAGCGUCCGACUUCGGCUUAGGUCACGAUCUCACUGUUUGAGCCCCUUGUCCACUCUGCUGACAGCUCAGAGCCUGGAGCCUGCUU